Molecule: long non-coding RNA, 1219 nt
Filed under: Panax ginseng (ginseng)
Lineage: Eukaryota; Viridiplantae; Streptophyta; Magnoliopsida; Apiales; Araliaceae
Description: long non-coding RNA (PGIN_LNC015090)
Source: RNAcentral
GAAGAAAAAACAAAACUAACUCUACCAGAAACAUGAACUUCUUCCACUGUUAACACUAUUCGCUAAUUUUUUAGCUAUACAAAUAUUUACAGCAAAAAUGAACAACACCCGUCUCGGAGACAUGAUACAAGCCAGAUGGAAUGUUUCAAAAGAUAAAACACAUUUACAUCAUUAUUUUUCUUUAACUCUACUCUUUUUCCCUUUUCUGAAGUUGUAGUUUUUUUUUCCUAAUACCUCCAUUUCUUCGCCCACUUGAUUGGACAAAUUGCAAGGCUUUGACUGGGAACUGCGGCAGAAAACAAAAAACAAACAGACAAAACAAUAACAUCAAUUCCCACAUUCUGUAAAUUCUUAAGCAAAAGUUUCCCUGCCACGGAUACCUUCUUUUUUUUUUUCUCCUAAACUACACCAUCCAUGUGUGCUUUGUGGAAAAAUCGCCACUUUUAUUUUUACCCAAGUUCUUAUAAAAAGAGAGAAAGAAAUUCUUACCCAAGGUUCAACAUCAGUUUCCUGGCUUCAUCAACAGCAAGACUCGCAGCAUAUAGCACCAUCUUUUUCACCUAUAAAAUUAUAUAAUUCUGAGUAAGAGAAACAUCUCCAGUUAAAACAUAAAUUAUCCUACGAUUCAUUUCCUGAGUUUGUAGAGGGUGACAAACAAAUCUAGAAAGAGUUCUUUUUAGUAAUGAGAACUAACUAUCACCUGAAAUGUUCCUCUGUUCCUAUGCUAAGUUGAUUUUUUUCACCUGAAAUGUUCCUCUGUUCUUCCUAAUCUGAAUCGUGGCACAAUGGUAUUAAAACUAAAUAACAUUAAUACUCAGAAGAAUAGAGAAACAAUUUGAGUGCCAAAUCAACUGAAUAAAUUUCAAAUCACAAAAGGAAAAGAAAUCAUCCGAGGUCAAGCCCUUACAGAAUCGAAGUGUGGAACAAGGAGAUCGAACGAUGAGAUGAAGGAGAUCGAAGUGAGUGCUUGAGGAGGAUCGAACUGAGGGCUUCCGAUUCUAGGGCUUGAGGGGGAUCGAACUGAGAUUUCAAAGGCUUCAAUUUUCUGAAGCUCAAGUUGGAGAAGGAACUCUGGGCUUCGAAGAUUCGGUAAGGGCUUCGAUUUUUUGUUUUGCAGCAAUCGGUUUUCUGAAGAUUUCAAAGCUUGAUUUUCUGUUUUGGAGGAACUCUCAGCCGAAACCCACAAGUAACGAGGAGAGAGAAAUGAAAUGAAAUGAAA